GACGAACGCUGGCGGCGUGCUUAACACAUGCAAGUCGAACGGUAAGGCCCUUUCGGGGGUACACGAGUGGCGAACGGGUGAGUAACACGUGGGUGAUCUGCCCUGCACUUUGGGAUAAGCCUGGGAAACUGGGUCUAAUACCGGAUAGGACUACGCGAUGCAUGUCGUGUGGUGGAAAGCUUUUGCGGUGUGGGAUGGGCCCGCGGCCUAUCAGCUUGUUGGUGGGGUGAUGGCCUACCAAGGCGACGACGGGUAGCCGGCCUGAGAGGGUGUCCGGCCACACUGGGACUGAGAUACGGACCAGACUCCUACGGGAGGCAGCAGUGGGGAAUAUUGCACAAUGGGCGCAAGCCUGAUGCAGCGACGCCGCGUGGGGGAUGACGGCCUUCGGGUUGUAAACCCCUUUCAGCACAGACGAAGCGUAAGUGACGGUAUGUGCAGAAGAAGCACCGGCCAACUACGUG
RNAcentral lists this ribosomal RNA (464 nucleotides) under uncultured bacterium. RNAcentral's name for it is "partial 16S ribosomal RNA". It matches the Rfam family "Bacterial small subunit ribosomal RNA", at positions 28 to 507 of the family's 1533-position model. The record is from RNAcentral.